Molecule: ribosomal RNA, 253 nt
Filed under: uncultured bacterium
Lineage: Bacteria
Description: partial 16S ribosomal RNA
Rfam family: Bacterial small subunit ribosomal RNA
Source: RNAcentral
UACGUAGGGGGCAAGCGUUGUCCGGAAUUAUUGGGCGUAAAGAGCUCGUAGGCGGCCCGGUAAGUCCGUUGUGAAAGUCAAAGGCUCAACCUUUGAACGCCGAUGGAUACUGCCGGGCUAGAGUCCGGAAGAGGCGAGUGGAAUUCCUGGUGUAGCGGUGAAAUGCGCAGAUAUCAGGAGGAACACCAAUGGCGAAGGCAGCUCGCUGGGACGUGACUGACGCUGAGACGCGAAAGCGUGGGGAGCAAACAGG